RNAcentral lists this non-coding RNA (70 nucleotides) under Chloropicon mariensis. The record is from RNAcentral. Lineage: Eukaryota; Viridiplantae; Chlorophyta; Chloropicophyceae; Chloropicales; Chloropicaceae.
UUCUUCUUCUUCUUCUUCUUCUUUUCUUCCUUUUGUUUUUCCUUUCCUACUGCGCUCGCUCUUGUUGAGA